UACGAGUGCUUCAAGCGUUAUCCGGAAUCAUUGGGCGUAAAGGGUGCGUAGGUGGCAAUGUUAGUCUCCCGUAAAAUCUUUCGGCUCAACCGAGAGUCUGCUGGAGAAACGGCAUUGCUUGAGGACGAGAGAGGUUUCUGGAACUCAUAGUGUAGCGGUGAAAUGCGUUGAUAUUAUGGGGAACACCAAAAGCGAAGGCAAGAAACUGGCUCGCUCCUGACACUGAGGCACGAAAGCGUGGGUCGCGAAUGGGG
This 254-nucleotide ribosomal RNA is filed under the name uncultured bacterium. RNAcentral describes it as "partial 16S ribosomal RNA". It matches the Rfam family "Bacterial small subunit ribosomal RNA", at positions 524 to 777 of the family's 1533-position model. The record is from RNAcentral.